RNAcentral lists this ribosomal RNA (579 nucleotides) under Coniochaeta sp. 2 ICMP 18911. Its description in RNAcentral is "eukaryotic LSU rRNA". The stretch from base 227 to 380 matches the Rfam family "5.8S ribosomal RNA". RNAcentral also lists the same sequence under 1 other name. Lineage: Eukaryota; Fungi; Ascomycota; Sordariomycetes; Coniochaetales; Coniochaetaceae. The record is from RNAcentral.
UGAGGAAGUAAAAGUCGUAACAAGGUCUCCGUUGGUGAACCAGCGGAGGGAUCAUUACAGAGUUCUAAAAAGACUCCCAAAACCAUUGUGAACGUACCCGUCAGCGUUGCCUCGGCGGGCGGCCCCUCCCUGGGGCCGCUGCCUCCCUCGCGGGGGGUGCCCGCCGGCGUACGAAAACUCUUUUGUAUUUUAGUGGCCUCUCUGAGAAAACAAGCAAAUAAGUUAAAACUUUCAACAACGGAUCUCUUGGUUCUGGCAUCGAUGAAGAACGCAGCGAAAUGCGAUAAGUAAUGUGAAUUGCAGAAUUCAGUGAAUCAUCGAAUCUUUGAACGCACAUUGCGCCCGCUAGUACUCUAGCGGGCAUGCCUGUUCGAGCGUCAUUUCAACCCUCAAGCCCUGCUUGGUGUUGGGGUCCUACGGCUGCCGUAGGCCCUGAAAACUAGUGGCGGGCUCGCUAUAACUCCGAGCGUAGUAGUAAAAUAUCUCGCUAGGGAGGUGUCGCGGGUUCCGGCCGUGAAAGCCCCAUCUUUUACACAAGGUUGACCUCGGAUCAGGUAGGAAUACCCGCUGAACUUAAGC